This 140-nucleotide ribosomal RNA is filed under the name uncultured eukaryote. Its description in RNAcentral is "partial 18S ribosomal RNA". It matches the Rfam family "Eukaryotic small subunit ribosomal RNA", at positions 1299 to 1458 of the family's 1831-position model. The record is from RNAcentral.
UGGUGGAGUGAUUUGUCUGGUUAAUUCCGUUAACGAACGAGACCUCGACCUGCUAAAUAGUUGCGCGAGCCUUCGGGCUCUGUAGUGACUUCUUAGAGGGACUAUCGGUUCCUAACCGAUGGAAGUUCGAGGCAAUAACA